GGGUUGUGAGGUUAAGCGACUAAGCGUACACGGUGGAUGCCCUGGCAGUCAGAGGCGAUGAAGGGCGUGCUAAUCUGCGAUAAGCGCCGGUAAGGUGAUAUGAACCGUUAUAACCGGCGAUACCCGAAUGGGGAAACCCAGUGUGACUCGUCACACUAUCAUUAACUGAAUCCAUAGGUUAAUGAGGCGAACCGGGGGAACUGAAACAUCUAAGUACCCCGAGGAAAAGAAAUCAACCGAGAUUCCCCCAGUAGCGGCGAGCGAACGGGGAGGAGCCCAGAGCCUGAAUCAGCAUGUGUGUUAGUGGAAGCGUCUGGAAAGACGCGCGAUACAGGGUGACAGCCCCGUACACAAAAGCGCAUGUGUUGUGAGCUCGAUGAGUAGGGCGGGACACGUGGUAUCCUGUCUGAAUAUGGGGGGACCAUCCUCCAAGGCUAAAUACUCCUGACUGACCGAUAGUGAACCAGUACCGUGAGGGAAAGGCGAAAAGAACCCCGGCGAGGGGAGUGAAAAAGAACCUGAAACCGUGUACGUACAAGCAGUGGGAGCACAGGUUUACCUGUGUGACUGCGUACCUUUUGUAUAAUGGGUCAGCGACUUAUAUUCUGUAGCAAGGUUAACCGAAUAGGGGAGCCGGAGGGAAACCGAGUCUUAAUUGGGCGUUAAGUUGCAGGGUAUAGACCCGAAACCCGGUGAUCUAGCCAUGGGCAGGUUGAAGGUUGGGUAACACUAACUGGAGGACCGAACCGACUAAUGUUGAAAAAUUAGCGGAUGACCUGUGGCUGGGGGUGAAAGGCCAAUCAAACCGGGAGAUAGCUGGUUCUCCCCGAAAGCUAUUUAGGUAGCGCCUCGUGAACUCAUCUCCGGGGGUAGAGCACUGUUUCGGCUAGGGGGCCAUCCCGGCUUACCAACCCGAUGCAAACUGCGAAUACCGGAGAAUGUUAUCACGGGAGACACACGGCGGGUGCUAACGUCCGUCGUGAAGAGGGAAACAACCCAGACCGCCAGCUAAGGUCCCAAAGUCAUGGUUAAGUGGGAAACGAUGUGGGAAGGCCCAGACAGCCAGGAUGUUGGCUUAGAAGCAGCCAUCAUUUAAAGAAAGCGUAAUAGCUCACUGGUCGAGUCGGCCUGCGCGGAAGAUGUAACGGGGCUAAACCAUGCACCGAAGCUGCGGCAGCGACACUCAGGUGUUGUUGGGUAGGGGAGCGUUCUGUAAGCCUGUGAAGGUGUGUCGUGAGGCAUGCUGGAGGUAUCAGAAGUGCGAAUGCUGACAUAAGUAACGAUAAAGCGGGUGAAA
Molecule: ribosomal RNA, 1297 nt
Filed under: Salmonella enterica
Lineage: Bacteria; Pseudomonadati; Pseudomonadota; Gammaproteobacteria; Enterobacterales; Enterobacteriaceae
Description: partial 23S ribosomal RNA
Rfam family: Bacterial large subunit ribosomal RNA
Source: RNAcentral